UACGUAGGUGGCGAGCGUUAUCCGGAUUUACUGGGCGUAAAGGGAGCGUAGGCGGACUUUUAAGUGAGAUGUGAAAUACCCGGGCUCAACUUGGGUGCUGCAUUUCAAACUGGAAGUCUAGAGUGCAGGAGAGGAGAAUGGAAUUCCUAGUGUAGCGGUGAAAUGCGUAGAGAUUAGGAAGAACACCAGUGGUGAAGGCGAUUCUCUGGACUGUAACUGACGCUGAGGCUCGAAAGCGUGGGGGGCAAACAGGAUUAGAUACCCUGGUA
RNAcentral lists this ribosomal RNA (269 nucleotides) under uncultured prokaryote. RNAcentral describes it as "partial 16S ribosomal RNA". It matches the Rfam family "Bacterial small subunit ribosomal RNA", at positions 524 to 792 of the family's 1533-position model. The record is from RNAcentral.